This 296-nucleotide long non-coding RNA is filed under the name Mus musculus (house mouse). Its description in RNAcentral is "predicted gene 45355". Lineage: Eukaryota; Metazoa; Chordata; Mammalia; Rodentia; Muridae. The record is from RNAcentral.
CCGUGCUCAUGUGGGAACGGUUACAGAGGGUAGUCAAACAAGCUCUGGCCAAUAAGGUCAUUCUGUGGGGAUGACAGAUGAAUGGACAGUCAGCACGGCUGAGAUACACAAGAUGCAGGAGUAGCCCCCGUCUGUACAGCCCUGGCCUCUACUCUGCCUUCUGAACCCUGGCCAUCUCAAGCAUUUAUGGAAUGCUGCACACACAUCCAGACUUUUGCUGGGUAGACACCUGGAAGAAACAUUGGUCCAACACCCCUAAAUGCCCAGCAGACAUUAAAAGAAAAAGCUACAGAGAA